Macaca fascicularis (crab-eating macaque) is the source of this 2090-nucleotide long non-coding RNA. The record is from Ensembl. Lineage: Eukaryota; Metazoa; Chordata; Mammalia; Primates; Cercopithecidae.
UUUUUUUUUUUUUUUUUAAGUUUUUGUAGAGACGGGGGUCUCACUAUGUUGUGAUCCUCCUGCCUCAGCCUCCCAAGUCUUGAGAUUACUGGCAUGAGCCACCAUGCCCAGCCCUCAAAAUUUUAAAUAAAGAUAAGUGCUCCAUGACACCAUCCAUCAGAUGUGUCCUUAGUGUGGCUUACAGAUUCAGCCACCUUCUCUUACCUGGCCCCUGGGGAACAAGGAGCUGCUUUGACAGGACAGCUGGCCAGCCACGAGGGUCCCGAGAACGCCCCCCUGCUCCUGCUCAGAGUCCACACCCACACACAGUGCAGAGUCCAUUCAUAUCCACCAAGCAGCACCGUAAAAUAUUGAGGAGAGGGAGUUGUUUGUAGGUUUGGAAUAAUAUCUGUGUCUUUACCUGUAUAUGCAUUUCAUGACUUGUAAAGCCCCAUCCUGCAUCUCAUCAGAUCUUGGUGCAGUCAUCUUCUGAGACCUCAAAGUAAGAAUCACGUGCCCAUUUUACAGAAACUGUCCAUCAAAAGGAAGCAGAGACUUGUCCCAGGGUCCAUGGUAAUCGGCACAGCCGAGACUCAAAUACUGCCGAAAUCUUUGUCCUUGACUCCAUCGGGCUGUGCAGAAUUCACUUAUUUUCCUCCAGUUGGAGGGAAUUUGCACCCAAGGAGAGUAUUUUGCUUGUUUUACCCUGGGCCAGGUCUAGAGUGAGGCAAGAGAGAUAUUCACUUCGGGUGCAUGAAGUACAUUUGUUGGGGAUGCUGAAGGCUUGGCUGGGGCUUUUUGCCUUUUAUGGACUUAUAUUGCCUUAUAUUAAAUAUCUUUGGAGCCAGGUGAGGCCAGUAAAAUGUUACACAAAUAGGAGCUAUCUCCUAGAUUCUACAGGUCAUUUCCUGGAGUCAAGACCAAGCAGGUGUGGGGGGCCGGGUGCAACUUCUGUUGGAAAGAAGCCCAAAGCACCCUUUGGAAGACGGUGAGUUUUUAGGGAUGGGCCUUUGGUUUCCUCUCCAAAUCUGUGUCAGCAUCUGAAGGGAUGUCCAAAGGCUAGAUUGGUGUUUCCUGGCGUGGGUGACACAGAUAGACAAAGAUGGAGCUGAAAGGCAACUUGUUCAAUGAUGACCCGUCUCCCACGCACGGCCAGUGAGGGGUGCUGAGGAGCUGUUCGUGGCCAAGGUUUUCCCAUUCUUGUGCUGUCUUCCCUAGCCCCUGCCUCCACCCUCCUCAGGGACUCUGCUUCUCUGGGCUGUGCCAACGUCAAAGGUGCCCAGUCCUCAUUUUCCAGGGCUCAUGUUUCUAGAUGCCUCAUGCCCCCUCCAUUUGUUUCUCUGAGGCUGCCUGAUGCAUGAUUGUUUGGCUUUUUCUCCCCUUCUGCAUGCAAGUUGCUUCUUUUUGGAAGCAGAAAUGUGAGUGUCUUCCUACAAUCUCUUUUUUCCUGAAUCCUACUCCAGGGGAAAUUUCUGAUCUUUCACUUCUCCCGAAUUCCUCCUGGCAUCUCCAUCCCAAGGGUAGGGUCCAAGUACCCAGACUCCCCCCAGGACUGUUGCAGUUGCCUCUAAAGAGGUCUCUCUGCCUUGGGUCUCACCCAUUGGGAGCCCCAAAACCAGCCUGGGAGGGUGCCUUAACUAACUUCACCUCUAUCUCUGCCAGCCUCCUCCCUCCCAAGCCAUUCCCCGUAGACUUCAGUCCAGGAGCAAAAUAGCUGGCUUGUUAUGGGAACGGCUUCAACACAAAUCUCGUAUCUCCUUCUCCACGUGAAGGGAGAGCCAUCAUCCUGGCCUAUAUUGAAAUUCUGGAGCUACCAUAAGACCUCUCAAUACCUGUGUGCCUCAGUUUGCUUAUCUAUAUAAUAGGAAUAGUAGUAGGAUCAACCUUUUAGCAUUGCUGGAAGGCCUGUAACUGUUGCAUCAAAUGAGGAGAACUCAUAAGGUACAGGCACUGAACAUUCUCCCCUACCUUAACACCCCCAUUCUCCUUCCACCCUAGUGCUUGCUCCAACCUGCUCUUGGGGACUGUUUCCUACUCCUUGAAGAAAUCUUGGGGAAUUUCCAUGCUCACUCUUAGAUACUGCUAUUACUAAUUAUAAUACCAUGGUCACA